AGUGAACGCUCGCGGUAGGCCUAACACAUGCGAGUCGAACGGCAGCACAGUAAGAGCUUGCUCUUACGGGUGGCGAGUGGCGGACGGGUGAGGAAUACAUCGGAAUCUACUUUUUCGUGGGGGAUAACGGAGGGAAACUUACGCUAAUACCGCAUACGACCUACGGGUGAAAGCAGGGGAUCUUCGGACCUUGCGCGAAUGAAUGAGCCGAUGUCGGAUUAGCUAGUUGGCGGGGUAAAGGCCCACCAAGGCGACGAUCCGUAGCUGGUCUGAGAGGAUGAUCAGCCACACUGGAACUGAGACACGGUCCAGCCUCCUCCGGGAGGCAGCAGUGGGGAAUAUUGGCCAAUGGGCGCAAGCCUGAUCCAGCCCUACCGCGUGGGUGAAGAAGGCCUUCGGGUUGUAAAGCCCUUUUGUUGGGAAAGAAAAGCAGCAGGUUAAUACCCCGCUGUUCUGACGGUACCCAAAGAAUAAGCACCGGCUAACUUCGUG
This 492-nucleotide ribosomal RNA is filed under the name uncultured bacterium. RNAcentral describes it as "partial 16S ribosomal RNA". It matches the Rfam family "Bacterial small subunit ribosomal RNA", at positions 29 to 507 of the family's 1533-position model. The record is from RNAcentral.